ACGACGUCAUGUUUCUGAUAAGGUAAAGUCUUUAUUUUAUUUUGUUUUCGAAUAGCAAUUAAUAUGUUAUUUGCUUUUAAAAAAUACAACAAUGUUUGAUGUUUACAAGGGAGGCAGCACGAUCGCGAAAAGCCACUUCACCUCAAUGAAAAUAAUAAAAAUAAAACUCCCACACACCGCGAACAGAGCCAAACGUGUACUUAUUGUGCGUAAAUACCAUUCAGGCGAUCACAUUAAAGGUGGGAAUAACAACUGGUGGAAACGAAUAAACGAAAGUGAUACUUGGAAAAGAACCGCUGUAAAUUUUCUGCUUGCUGCAUAUGGACAGCUAAGGAGGAACUGAUGGAGAUUUAUUGGAAACAUUGUCCACCCAGAGACGGAGCAACAUCUCAAAUCCCGGCUUGCUCACAACCCUCAAACGGAGAAAUUGAGAGGGUUUGACUUUACCCAUAACGAAUGGGAAAAGUGACUAUUUCUUCAAGGUGAAACUGAAACCACCAACCUAAGGUAUUGUGACAAAAUAUCCAGAGGAAUGUCAUCAAACCGGACUGACCAGGAGCAAGACUCUGCUACCUGGCCUAUUUUAUGAUGAAUAAUUAGACAUUCACGUUGACACUGACAUCCGUUUGGGGAAGCCGUGAGGGUCUUGUAGGUUCAAAAUGGUAUCAGUAUUUCACGUGAUUAUUUGAGAGAUUAAAUUGAACCAGGCCUAAUGUUAUUGAUGGAUCAUCCACUGGAAGAUCGGUGAUAGUGGAGAGGUCGGUGCGGCGAUCGAUCAGGGCGCGGACGGACGAGGAUAGACCACGUGAG
Amblyraja radiata (thorny skate) is the source of this 810-nucleotide long non-coding RNA. RefSeq lists it as uncharacterized. The record is from RefSeq and is a predicted model, not a curated record. NCBI's taxonomy places the organism in Eukaryota, Metazoa, Chordata, Chondrichthyes, Rajiformes, Rajidae. The transcript has 3 exons.